UACGUAGGUGGCGAGCGUUAUCCGGAAUUACUGGGCGUAAAGCGCACGCAGGCGGUUUCUUAAGUUUGACGUGAAAACUCCUGGCUUAACUGGGAGAGGUCGUUGAAGACUGGGGAACUUGAGGCAAUGAGAGGGAUGUAGAAUUCACGGUGUAGUGGUGGAAUGCGUAGAUAUCGUGAGGAAUACCAGUGGCGAAAGCGACAUCCUGGCAUUAGCCUGACGCUCAUGUGCGAAAGCGUGGGGAGCGAAC
RNAcentral lists this ribosomal RNA (250 nucleotides) under uncultured bacterium. RNAcentral's name for it is "partial 16S ribosomal RNA". It matches the Rfam family "Bacterial small subunit ribosomal RNA", at positions 524 to 773 of the family's 1533-position model. The record is from RNAcentral.